This 661-nucleotide ribosomal RNA is filed under the name Salmonella enterica. Its description in RNAcentral is "partial 23S ribosomal RNA". It matches the Rfam family "Bacterial large subunit ribosomal RNA", at positions 1 to 677 of the family's 2925-position model. Lineage: Bacteria; Pseudomonadati; Pseudomonadota; Gammaproteobacteria; Enterobacterales; Enterobacteriaceae. The record is from RNAcentral.
GGGUUGUGAGGUUAAGCGACUAAGCGUACACGGUGGAUGCCCUGGCAGUCAGAGGCGAUGAAGGGCGUGCUAAUCUGCGAUAAGCGCCGGUAAGGUGAUAUGAACCGUUAUAACCGGCGAUACCCGAAUGGGGAAACCCAGUGUGACUCGUCACACUAUCAUUAACUGAAUCCAUAGGUUAAUGAGGCGAACCGGGGGAACUGAAACAUCUAAGUACCCCGAGGAAAAGAAAUCAACCGAGAUUCCCCCAGUAGCGGCGAGCGAACGGGGAGGAGCCCAGAGCCUGAAUCAGCAUGUGUGUUAGUGGAAGCGUCUGGAAAGGCGCGCGAUACAGGGUGACAGCCCCGUACACAAAAGCGCAUGUGCUGUGAGCUCGAUGAGUAGGGCGGGACACGUGGUAUCCUGUCUGAAUAUGGGGGGAUCAUCCUCCAAGGCUAAAUACUCCUGACUGACCGAUAGUGAACCAGUACCGUGAGGGAAAGGCGAAAAGAACCCCGGCGAGGGGAGUGAAAAAGAACCUGAAACCGUGUACGUACAAGCAGUGGGAGCCCCACCACUAAGCCAGUGGUGAACUCCACAUACGCAUCCUUUGCUGAGGAUACGGUUAACGGAGCGAAAGCGACGUUCAACCGCAAAAGAAGCAGAGGGGGCUUAGUGGUGG